Molecule: ribosomal RNA, 253 nt
Filed under: uncultured bacterium
Lineage: Bacteria
Description: partial 16S ribosomal RNA
Rfam family: Bacterial small subunit ribosomal RNA
Source: RNAcentral
UACAGAGGGUGCGAGCGUUAAUCGGAUUUACUGGGCGUAAAGGGCGUGCAGGCGGUUUGUUAAGUGCAGGGUGAAAGCUCCCGGCUCAACUGGGAGAGGUCCUUGCAUACUGGCAAACUCGAGGGAGGCAGAGGAAAGUGGAAUUCCCGGUGUAGUGGUGAUAUGCGUAGAUAUCGGGAGGAACACCUGUGGCGAAGGCGGCUUUCUGGGCCUUACCUGACGCUGAGACGCGAAAGCGUGGGGAGCGAACCGG